Gossypium arboreum is the source of this 635-nucleotide long non-coding RNA. RefSeq lists it as uncharacterized. The record is from RefSeq and is a predicted model, not a curated record. NCBI's taxonomy places the organism in Eukaryota, Viridiplantae, Streptophyta, Magnoliopsida, Malvales, Malvaceae. The transcript is spliced from 2 exons.
AUGAUUGAACCCAUCAAUUGUUUGUGAGCGUCAGAUAAAUCAAAAUCAAUGUCCCCACACUUGACCUGAACACAAGAAGAUGAUAGGAUAAGUCAAUUAUUUGAAAGAUAAGAACAUAAAAAGUUGGACCUCCGUUACUCUGAUUACCAUGUCAGUACUAAGAAACAUUAUGAUUGCUUCCCAACCAACGUCCAUUAAUAUCAUCCACCCAAUCAAGAAGAUGAGUACACAUUCAUUCAUUCAGAAGACGCAUCUUUGUUUGCUCAAAUCUGUCAUGUAAGCAGCCAGCCAUAGCUAUGACAAAGAAUGCAACCAUGGCCAAAUCAUCGAAGUGGUAAAUAAAUCCACAGAAUUUGGGAGGCAUAUGGAAAUUAUUGUUAUCUAUAAUAUGUAAUGGGAUAUUCUGAUAAACCUUUCAGAGUAAGUUUAGUGCAAUUAGCCCAUUAAAACUCAAAGCUGAGUUAACACUCACCUACAGAUAAGCUUGCUUGCCUCUGCAACACCUUCUGCAAAUGCUGUAAAACAUUGAGAUCUAACAUUAGAGUCAAGAGUGAAGAAGAAACAAUGUACCAAUAACUCAAGGAAGGAAAAUCAGCAACACUUGAUAAUUAAAUAAACAAUUCUCAUUUCCGACA